UACGUAGGAAGCGAGCGUUAUCCGGAAUUACUGGGCGUAAAGCGCGCGUAGGUGGUCUUUCAAGUCGAAUGUGAAAUUUCCCGGCUUAACCGGGAAGGGUCGUUCGAUACUGUUGGACUAGAGAGCGGCAGGGGGAAGCGGAAUUCCCGGUGUAGUAGUGAAAUGCGUAGAUAUCGGGAGGAGCACCAGUGGCGAAGGCGGCUUCCUGGGCUGUUUCUGACACUGAGGCGCGAAAGUGUGGGGAGCGAACAGAAUUAGAUACUCUGGUAGUCCACACUGUAAACGAUAGGUACUAGGUAUAGGGAGUAUCGACCCUCUUUGUGCCGAAGCUAACACUUUAAGUACCCCGCCUGGGGACUACGGCCGCAAGGCUAAA
RNAcentral lists this ribosomal RNA (376 nucleotides) under uncultured bacterium. RNAcentral describes it as "bacterial SSU rRNA". It matches the Rfam family "Bacterial small subunit ribosomal RNA", at positions 524 to 898 of the family's 1533-position model. The record is from RNAcentral.